CCUCGUGGGCAGCAAGACUCCGAAACCGCCCUGGUAGUCUCCCCUGCUUUGCCCCCGGCGGGGGGAAUAAUUUGCCUCAGACAGGCAGGUGACGAGGGGCACCGCAGAAGCGCCAGUAGCUGCUGCUACUGAGCAUGCGCACAGCGCACGGGCAUGCCCAGUGACAACUGAGGGAGCCCAAUCUGAUGGGGAGCAGAGUCUGGCACUCGGCAACCUUCGGCGGUUUCCGUGGGGGCCUGGCCGCCAUUUUCUCGUUGCAUCUCUCCGCUCGCUGGCUGCGCGGCUCCCUGCCCUGCUCUCCAGCGCUUUGUCUUGUUCGGCGAUGGACGGCAUUGUCACUGAUGUUGCAGUUGGCGUGAAGAGAGGAUCUGACGAACUUCUUUCAGGCAGUGUACUCAAUAGUCCGAACUCUAACAUGAGCAGCAUGGUAGUUACUGUCCAGAUCUCUUAUGAGACAUAAGCCUCUGAACAGAAAAUAUUGACUAACUCCCACAUCUUGUCUGGUGAGAUCUAAUGGACAAUCCUUCCAGCUGUAUCCAGAGCCAGGAAAUAUUUUUCCAGCUUUGCAAAUGAGAGGUCAGUACAGAUUCUUCAACCACGCAUAAUGUAAAUGAUCAACUAAGGUGUAAUUAAGCCUAAAAGGGAAACCAAGCAUUUUUCUUAUUCAGGUUAUUGACCAGGACUUCUUAAGGCUUAUAGGUUUGAAAUGUCAUUUAAAAAUAUAUUAUAGGUCAACAGACUAAUAGAUUCACCUCUAAUCUUUCUUCUGGCCUCUCUGCCAUUGAAUUUAUAUAUAUGUGAUAGUACUGACAUAAGUCAGAGUUCUGUUAUCACACUCAAAGCAUCAUGACUGUGAAGCCCUUACAAAGAGAAGAUAUAAUCUUUGAUCACUCUGUUUGUAAAGGAAGCAUGAUUUGGAACAGU
This is a non-coding RNA of Chelonoidis abingdonii (Abingdon island giant tortoise), 924 nucleotides long. NCBI's taxonomy places the organism in Eukaryota, Metazoa, Chordata, Testudines, Testudinidae. The record is from RefSeq and is a predicted model, not a curated record.